CCUGCAGUUAAAGGAUCAUUUUUGUAGUGGUUUCUUCAGUGAAAUACUCUUGUUACACUUAGUUUCUGAGCGUG
This is a small nucleolar RNA of Prunus persica (peach), 74 nucleotides long. It matches the Rfam family "Small nucleolar RNA R24". Rfam says of the family: snoR24 is a C/D box small nucleolar RNA which acts as a methylation guide for 18S ribosomal RNA in plants. Lineage: Eukaryota; Viridiplantae; Streptophyta; Magnoliopsida; Rosales; Rosaceae. The record is from Rfam.